CAGCGCCACAAGUGGGAAUCGUUUAUUUGGUCUAAAGCGUUCGUAGCCGGUUUAGAAAAUUUUCUGUGAAAUCAUCCAGCUCAACUGAAUGUUGUGCAGAAAACACUACUAAACUUGAGAUCAGGAGAGGUUUGAAGUAUUCUGGGGGUAGCGGUAAAAUGUGAUAAUCCCUAGAGGACUACCAAUGGCGAAGGCAUCAAACCAGAAUGACUCUGACGGUGAGGGACGAAAGCCAGGGGAGCAAACCGGAUUAGAUACCCGAGUAGUCC
Molecule: ribosomal RNA, 269 nt
Filed under: uncultured archaeon
Lineage: Archaea
Description: partial 16S ribosomal RNA
Rfam family: Archaeal small subunit ribosomal RNA
Source: RNAcentral